Erigeron canadensis is the source of this 406-nucleotide long non-coding RNA. RefSeq lists it as uncharacterized. The transcript has 3 exons. The record is from RefSeq and is a predicted model, not a curated record. NCBI's taxonomy places the organism in Eukaryota, Viridiplantae, Streptophyta, Magnoliopsida, Asterales, Asteraceae.
GGUUGGAAACUAUCAAAUAGCGCCGAUGUUUGGAUACCGAUAAGCCCGUUCUUCUGACCAGGCCUGGCAAGUACAGAUUAUGCUUUGAAAAGUAAUAUUUACAGUGGAUAACAUCACUUAGGUCGACCAAGCACUAGGGAUUUCAAAAGACUGAUCUAACCAUGCUCUGUUCACUUCUGGUGGCUUGGAGCUGUUAGACGGGCCAGAAGUGAAAGAAAUAGUAGUGGGUCCACGCGUUGGCAUCGAUUAUGAUUUGCUUGAACAUGUUAGUGCCUUAUGGAGGUUUGCAAUUUGAGAUAGCCGUUGGAUAAGUGCUCCUAAAAACACCCUCAAGGCACCUUAAUUUUCAAAUCAUGGACAUGACUGAUGGAAGGAGUUUUUUUUUUUUUUCGGUUGACAAUCUUAU